RNAcentral lists this long non-coding RNA (1661 nucleotides) under Anas platyrhynchos platyrhynchos (common mallard). RNAcentral describes it as "lncRNA (ENSAPLG00000017774.1)". The record is from RNAcentral. Lineage: Eukaryota; Metazoa; Chordata; Aves; Anseriformes; Anatidae.
AUGAUCGCUUGCAGAUCAAUGUACAUUGCAGGAAGUCUCGUUCAUCGCAGUUUUGACUUGAUCAUUACCCUGUGGCAAGUUCUCCACACCUUUCUGACAACCAUCUGCACCCCCCCAGCAGUUUCCUUUGAGCAGUGCCUCCAUGAUGCGACCACCUCACACCUCCCUCUGGCCAUCAGUGGUGCAGAGACCAUGCACCAAGCAAUGCUCAUUCUCCAGAUGUGCUCAGAGGUGGCCGGGCAGCCAAGGAGCAGACAUCCCUGCACUGACCCUGCACUGGCAGCAUCCUGGUGGCCUGGACCGAGGGAAGUAAGCAGGCAAUAAGAGCAGCCGGCACUUUGAAAAAGUGAUGGAAGAUGAAACUCCAGUAAGCGAUCCUGCAUCUCAACAGAGUUGUCAGCAAAUGACUUCUGUCCCAAUGUUUUGGUGCCAUUUUUCCUGAGCUGCCUGUGUAAUCGAUGGUGAAUCUUUACAUGCCCAGAGUGAGUUACUCAAAUCCAAAGCCGUUCUGGAAAUGGUCUGUCUGACAGCCUUUUUAUUGGCAAAGAAGCUAUUUAAAUGAGAAACCUGUGUGAGAGAUGAACUGGCUGCCCCGUGCGAUGGCAAGCGGAAGCUGAUGAAUUCUGCUCGGGCAACCAGGUGACCUUUCUGCUUUCCACUCUAAUUACUUUCCUGUCAGAUGUUCAAUUAGAGUGACAGGGUCCCAAAUUCCCAACGAUCUCUGUUUUGUCUUAGAAGAUUAAAGGGUGGCAACUAUUUUCAAUAUGAUUAUCAUCAUUAUCUCUGGGAGAUUUUAUACUUCUGAAGUCAAAGUCAUAAUAGCCCAGCUCACUGCAAUUAUUUGCAAAUUGCCUUAAUGUAUUUUCCAGAAGCUUUUCCUGCACUUUGUAAUUUAUUUAUUUGCUAAGCCAAUAGCACAUUAAAAUGCUAAAAUGUCUAUGAACCUAUAUGAAGCCUGGCUGAUGGUAACUUGCAUGGACUGUGCCAGCAUCCUAUUUACCCACCAGUAAUCUUAUACAUGUUUUGUUAAAAUGCCUUUAUGGAUGUUCCUUUAAGUAAAAUACCUUGAAGAAUUCCUCUUUUUUUUUUUUUCUUUUUUUUCUUUUUUUUUUUCUUUUUUUUUUUUUUCUGUUUGGAGAUGUUGCAGUAGUUCUCUAUUGUGGUAGAAAUGUUUGUGAAAUUAUUUGUACAAACCAGUAUAGGAAAAUACCAACAGACAGAAAACAUGGUCAGCUUCUCAAAAUAUGCCUUUUCUCUGGAAGCAUGUUUCUGAAGUGGGAGACUGACCCACCAAGGAAUGGAAACAGCAGUUUACUGGGAACCACACAGUGGGGCUCCAUUUUCUGUUGCAGGAACAAGCAGGUCUAAGAGCUACUGGGGUGUUUUUGGGUGCGCUCACUGAAUGCACUUUUUAUUCUCAAUGGGGAGUAGAGGAUGGAGAGAUGAUGUGCCCUGUGUAUUAAAUUGAAACUAACCCAAAUAGCUUAUAAAACACGCUCAGCUAAUUAUUCAGGAGUAAUUUACAGACCAAGAGUUACAUUGCAAUAAUUGUGAAUAAUGACUGAACCACAAAAAAAUGGUAGAUGGCUUGCAGGCAUUUUGUGAACAGAAAAUGAGGCUAAAUUCAUUGAAUAAAUUAAUUGCUAUGGAUUAUUCUUUCA